Molecule: ribosomal RNA, 252 nt
Filed under: uncultured bacterium
Lineage: Bacteria
Description: partial 16S ribosomal RNA
Rfam family: Bacterial small subunit ribosomal RNA
Source: RNAcentral
UACGUAGGGUGCGAGCGUUAAUCGGAAUUACUGGGCGUAAAGCGUGCGCAGGCGGUUUGCUAAGACCGAUGUGAAAUCCCCGGGCUCAACCUGGGAACUGCAUUGUGACUGGCAGGCUAGAGUAUGGCAGAGGGGGGUAGAAUUCCACGUGUAGCAGUGAAAUGCGUAGAGAUGUGGAGGAAUACCGAUGGCGAAGGCAGCCCCCUGGGCCAAUACUGACGCUCAUGCACGAAAGCGUGGGGAGCAAACAGG